GGGGAAUCGUGCGCAAUGGGCGAAAGCCUGACGCAGCAACGCCGCGUGCGGGAUGACGGCCUUCGUGGUUGUAAACCGCUUUCAGCAGGGACGAAAUUGACGGUACCUGCAGAAGAAGCCCCGGCUAACUACGUGCCAGCAGCCGCGGUAAUACGUAGGGGGCAAGCGUUGUCCGGAAUCAUUGGGCGUAAAGAGCUCGUAGGCGGUUCAGUAAGUCGGGUGUGAAAGCUCCGAGCUCAACUCGGAGAGGCCACUCGAUACUGCUGUGACUAGAAUCCAGUAGGGGAGUGUGGAACUCCUGGUGUAGCGGUGAAAUGCGCAGAUAUCAGGAAGAACACCAGCGGCGAAGGCGGCACUCUGGGCUGGUAUUGACGCUGAGGAGCGAAAGUGUGGGUAGCAAAC
RNAcentral lists this ribosomal RNA (402 nucleotides) under uncultured bacterium. Its description in RNAcentral is "bacterial SSU rRNA". It matches the Rfam family "Bacterial small subunit ribosomal RNA", at positions 356 to 773 of the family's 1533-position model. The record is from RNAcentral.